GGUGCUCACUUCUGCACCACUAAAAUUGGAAUGAUACAGAAGAUUAGCAAGGCCCUGGAGCAAGGAUGACAUGCAAAUUCAUGACAUGUUCCUUAUUUUA
Molecule: non-coding RNA, 100 nt
Organism: Pteropus alecto (black flying fox)
Lineage: Eukaryota; Metazoa; Chordata; Mammalia; Chiroptera; Pteropodidae
Source: Rfam